CUUCUACUUUCCUAGUCCGUCAACGGUAUCAGGCUUCAUCUCAAAAUCGAAGUCUUGGCUAAGAUCCAAUCAAUCCAUAAUGAAUUUCAAGCUUUAAUCUUGAAGGAAAAUCUAAGUCUUGGCUAAGCUCCGAUCAAUCCGUCAUCAGAUCCAGAAUUUCAAGCUUUAAUCUGAAGGACUCUCCCUCCCUCGGUUCACAGUGCUAUUAUUGCAUAGGAAUCUUCCGGCGGAUUGUCUGAGACGGCCCCCUCGUCGUCCAGACCUCGGUGUUGAGAACUCCAUUGAUCUAUGCAGUUGUGGGCGUGUUUUUGCCUUUGGUUGGUCUAAGGACCUCUUUUUCUCUCUUUGAGAACCCUUUCUGUUAACUCUACUUAACACUUUACCCAAAAAAAAGAAAAAUUCCUCAGACCCCCUCAAUGUCCAGACCUCGGUGGUUGAGAGCUCCAUUCCUCUAUGCAGUUGUGGGCCUGUUUGUGCCUUUGGUUGGCCUAAGGACGUUUUUUUCUCUCUUUGAGAGCUGUUAAUUCUACU
Cornus florida is the source of this 531-nucleotide long non-coding RNA. RefSeq lists it as uncharacterized. NCBI's taxonomy places the organism in Eukaryota, Viridiplantae, Streptophyta, Magnoliopsida, Cornales, Cornaceae. The record is from RefSeq and is a predicted model, not a curated record. The transcript is spliced from 3 exons.